AGUAGCAUGUGGUAGAACAGUCCUGAUCACCUCAUAGUGGCUGGAAAUCAGAGAAAGAGAAAGGAGAGGCCAGGGUCCCAAUGUCCCCUUCAAGAGCACACUCCCAAUGACGUAACUUCUGUUUAGUAGCCCUGCCUCCUACAGGGUCCAGUAUCUUCCAGUAGUGCUUGGCUGGCAACCAAGCCUUUAAUGAUACAUGGGCCUUCGGGGGAUAUUUUAUACCCAAACUAUGGCAUAUGCGUUGUAUGAGUGAACUGCCAAUACCCUGGGGGAGACAGAGCACUAAACAAGCUGGACUCGUUCCCUGAGCUAUCAGAGCUCAUGGUUCAGUGCACACACUGUGCAUGGUCGUUCCGUCUUCUGCCUGUUCUAGACUGGGAGCUGCUUGAAGGCAGGUGCAAGUCUUACUGAUUUCAGAGUGUGUGUGUGUGUGUGUGUGUGUGUGUGUGUAUCUCCCUAGAGCACGCUCUGGCGUGUUCUCUGGAUUUGUGUGCUGAAUUGCUGAAUCAAUUCAUUUACUUUACAGAUGAAAACUGAGACUGUCAGAAGCUUAAGAACACAGUAAGAUGGGAGCCGUGUGGGGAUGAGAAUCCAGCAACCUGUGUCCCAG
This 610-nucleotide long non-coding RNA is filed under the name Marmota monax (woodchuck). The record is from RNAcentral. Lineage: Eukaryota; Metazoa; Chordata; Mammalia; Rodentia; Sciuridae.